RNAcentral lists this transfer-messenger RNA (369 nucleotides) under Demequinaceae. Its description in RNAcentral is "Demequina sp002841315 Standard tmRNA". It matches the Rfam family "transfer-messenger RNA". From Rfam's summary of the family: Bacterial tmRNA, also known as 10Sa RNA or SsrA, is named for its dual tRNA and mRNA-like properties. Its role is to liberate the mRNA from a stalled ribosome. Lineage: Bacteria; Bacillati; Actinomycetota; Actinomycetes; Micrococcales. The record is from RNAcentral. RNAcentral also lists the same sequence under 1 other name.
GGGGAUGAUCGGUUUCGACGUGUGUUGUUUCCUCAAGGGAAGCGGGCCGAGGAUGUUGGGUUAUCUCGUAAACGAUCCCAGCAAACCAAUAGGUGCCGAUUCUAAGCGCACCGACUUCGCCCUCGCUGCUUAAGCGAGCGCAAUGAAGUCCGUCAGCCCAGGGUAGUUCCCGACCUGGUCCCUGACGUCAUCUAGGGAACUUGCUGAGCUUCUUCGUCAUCGGGGAGCUCGGGACUUUUAGGUGACUGGGCCUAUCUCACUGUUUGCCUAAGGGCUGUGAGGGGCCGAGAAACAGAUACUUAGGCUGCGCCCGGAGAAGACUUGACGUUGGGCAUGCGGACGCGGGUUCGAUUCCCGCCAUCUCCACUC